Molecule: ribosomal RNA, 253 nt
Filed under: uncultured bacterium
Lineage: Bacteria
Description: partial 16S ribosomal RNA
Rfam family: Bacterial small subunit ribosomal RNA
Source: RNAcentral
UACGAGGGGAGCUAGCGUUGUUCAGAAUUACUGGGCGUAAAGGGCGCGUAGGCGGUACCGUAAGUCAGAUGUGAAAGCCCCAGGCUUAACCUGGGAGGUGCAUUUGAUACUGCGGAACUAGAGAUCGAGAGAGGAAAGUGGAAUUACGAGUGUAGAGGUGAAAUUCGUAGAUAUUCGUAAGAACACCAGUGGCGAAGGCGGCUUUCUGGCUCGAUACUGACGCUAAGGCGCGAAAGCGUGGGGAGCAAACAGG